This 271-nucleotide ribosomal RNA is filed under the name uncultured prokaryote. RNAcentral's name for it is "partial 16S ribosomal RNA". It matches the Rfam family "Bacterial small subunit ribosomal RNA", at positions 505 to 775 of the family's 1533-position model. The record is from RNAcentral.
GUGCCAGCAGCCGCGGUAAUACGGAGGGUGCAAGCGUUAAUCGGAUGUACUGGGCGUAAAGCGUACGUAGGCGGCUUUUUAAGUCGGAUGUGAAAUCCCUGAGCUUAACUUAGGAAUUGCAUUCGAUACUGGGAAGCUAGAGUAUGGGAGAGGAUGGUAGAAUUCCAGGUGUAGCGGUGAAAUGCGUAGAGAUCUGGAGGAAUACCGAUGGCGAAGGCAGCCAUCUGGCCUAAUACUGACGCUGAGGUACGAAAGCAUGGGGAGCAAACAG